This 600-nucleotide ribosomal RNA is filed under the name Listeria monocytogenes. Its description in RNAcentral is "partial 23S ribosomal RNA". It matches the Rfam family "Bacterial large subunit ribosomal RNA", at positions 1 to 587 of the family's 2925-position model. Lineage: Bacteria; Bacillati; Bacillota; Bacilli; Caryophanales; Listeriaceae. The record is from RNAcentral.
AGUAAAUUGGUUAAGUUAGAAAGGGCGCACGGUGGAUGCCUUGGCACUAGGAGCCGAAGAAGGACGGGACUAACACCGAUAUGCUUUGGGGAGCUGUACGUAAGCGUUGAUCCAGAGAUUUCCGAAUGGGGGAACCCACUAUCUUUAGUCGGAUAGUAUCCUUACGUGAAUACAUAGCGUGAGGAAGGCAGACCCAGGGAACUGAAACAUCUAAGUACCUGGAGGAAGAGAAAGAAAAAUCGAUUUCCUGAGUAGCGGCGAGCGAAACGGAAAGAGCCCAAACCAAGAAGCUUGCUUCUUGGGGUUGUAGGACACUCUAUACGGAGUUACAAAAGAAAGUUAUAAAUGAAGCGGUCUGGAAAGGCCCGCCAAAGACGGUAACAGCCCGGUAGUUGAAAUGGCUUUCCCUCCAGAGUGGAUCCUGAGUACGGCGGAACACGUGAAAUUCCGUCGGAAUCCGGGAGGACCAUCUCCCAAGGCUAAAUACUCCCUAGUGACCGAUAGUGAACCAGUACCGUGAGGGAAAGGUGAAAAGCACCCCGGAAGGGGAGUGAAACAGUUCCUGAAACCGUGUGCCUACAAGUAGUUAGAGCCCGUUAA